GAUGAACGCUGGCGGCGUGCCUAAUACAUGCAAGUCGAGCGAACGGACGAGAAGCUUGCUUCUCUGAUGUUAGCGGCGGACGGGUGAGUAACACGUGGAUAACCUACCUAUAAGACUGGGAUAACUUCGGGAAACCGGAGCUAAUACCGGAUAAUAUUUUGAACCGCAUGGUUCAAAAGUGAAAGACGGUCUUGCUGUCACUUAUAGAUGGAUCCGCGCUGCAUUAGCUAGUUGGUAAGGUAACGGCUUACCAAGGCAACGAUGCAUAGCCGACCUGAGAGGGUGAUCGGCCACACUGGAACUGAGACACGGUCCAGACUCCUACGGGAGGCAGCAGUAGGGAAUCUUCCGCAAAGGGCGAAAGCCUGACGGAGCAACGCCGCGUGAGUGAUGAAGGUCUUCGGAUCGUAAAACUCUGUUAUUAGGGAAGAACAUAUGUGUAAGUAACUGUGCACAUCUUGACGGUACCUAAUCAGAAAGCCACGGCUAACUACGUG
RNAcentral lists this ribosomal RNA (497 nucleotides) under uncultured bacterium. RNAcentral's name for it is "partial 16S ribosomal RNA". It matches the Rfam family "Bacterial small subunit ribosomal RNA", at positions 28 to 507 of the family's 1533-position model. The record is from RNAcentral.